This 376-nucleotide ribosomal RNA is filed under the name uncultured bacterium. RNAcentral's name for it is "bacterial SSU rRNA". It matches the Rfam family "Bacterial small subunit ribosomal RNA", at positions 521 to 896 of the family's 1533-position model. The record is from RNAcentral.
UAAGACGAACCGUGCGAACGUUGUUCGGAAUCACUGGGCUUAAAGGGCGCGUAGGCGGCUUCGCAAGUCCGGGGUGAAAGCCUCCAGCUCAACUGGAGAAGUGCCUUGGAUACUGCGGGGCUCGAGGGAGGUAGGGGUGCGUGGAACUUCCGGUGGAGCGGUGAAAUGCGUUGAUAUCGGAAGGAACGCCGGUGGCGAAAGCGACGCACUGGACCUCUUCUGACGCUGAGGCGCGAAAGCCAGGGGAGCAAACGGGAUUAGAUACCCCGGUAGUCCUGGCCCUAAACGAUGGGUACUAGGUAGUGGACUUGACAUGGGUUCACUGCCGAAGCAAAAGUGUUAAGUACCCCGCCUGGGGAGUAUGGUCGCAAGGCUG